Molecule: ribosomal RNA, 250 nt
Filed under: uncultured bacterium
Lineage: Bacteria
Description: partial 16S ribosomal RNA
Rfam family: Bacterial small subunit ribosomal RNA
Source: RNAcentral
GACGUAGGAUGCAAGCGUUGUCCGGAUUUAUUGGGCGUAAAGAGUACGUAGGUGGAUAUUUAAGUCUGAGGUGAAAGGCCACGGCUCAACCGUGGAAACGCCUUGGAUACUGGGUAUCUUGAGGAUAGCAGAGGAAAGUGGAAUUCCAAGUGUAGCGGUGAAAUGCGUAGAUAUUUGGAGGAACACCAGUGGCGAAAGCGACUUUCUGGGCUAUUCCUGACACUGAGGUACGAAAGCCAGGGGAGCAAAC